This 45-nucleotide non-coding RNA is filed under the name Schistosoma mansoni. Lineage: Eukaryota; Metazoa; Platyhelminthes; Trematoda; Strigeidida; Schistosomatidae. The record is from RNAcentral.
CUUACACUGACGAGUUUCAAAUAGGACGAAACGCGCGUCCUGGAU